GCAGGGGGUUUCCAGGUGUAGCAGCACUUAGUUAGCAUGGAAACUUCCCUUCAGAGGCCCGUAACAGGAUCCCAGCCUGGGUCCCUGAUUGACGGCAACUUCCAGGACCAUCUCCAGAAGUAUUUGGACCUGUCUCAUCUGCAUGCUCCAACCAUUUGGCCCCAAACUUACUUGCGCUGGAUGAAGUAGGAGCCCUGCCUGCUGCUAGGAGUGAAGGUGACAUGAAGAAUCCGUUCCCAGCUCCAGCUGAGGCUCUUGGUCCCCUUGAAGCCCCUCACCACAUCCAAGCCAGUCAGAAGAAUGAAGGAGUGACCUGCCUGGAACACCCACCCUCCAGGGAGGUUAAUAUGCUUUCUAGUCCUGACCAGGACCCAGAACCACAUCAUCCUGCAUCACUGGAGUUCCCCCACUUCACACACCCGAAAGGAAGCUCAAGCUGUAGAGACAACAGUCACUAUACACUGUGCUGGCCCCAGUACUUUGAGGGGUCCAGGAGAGCCCAGGUCUUUCCUAGCCAUGGCAUUUUAAUAUUUCCUCUCCCUUUGGCCUGUGUUCAGCGUGUGGUCAGGCUGGCCUCCUCACUGCCCAGUUGACACAAGACGUGGGUUUAGCAUAGCACAUCCCGGUGGGUUGGUGGGUGGGUUGGUUUGUGAAGACAGCCAAAGCCUGGCAAAUGCCGUUUUUCUCUCCUUUGAUUGCAACUCUCUCGGAGGGAAUGCAUAGAUCAGUAGUUAUUUCACAAAUAUAUGUUGGGUUCCUGCUGCGUGCGUGCUAAGUAUGGUAUCCAGUCAGGUGCCGGAGAGAAAAAGCCGUGAAUUAAUCAAGCCCCUGCUCUCUAGGAGUUUACCGUUAGUUUUCUAUUUCAUUUUAUAGGCGAGGAGACCGAGGCCUAGAUCUGCAAGUGUCAAAGGGCUGAGCUGAGACUUGCCCUGGCUGGAUCCUUCUAGGUGUCUAUGUGCGGUCACUCCCGCUCCUAAGGGCCUGGUCUCCCACUCCUCGGAAGCCCUUCCUGUAGCCCCUCUUCCCUGUUCCUCUCGGAAUCCUGGGCUGCAGUAGCCACCUCUCCGCUUCACCGCUGACCCUGGAGGUGCUCCAGCAGAGAGCUACUAGCGGCGGGGUGGAUGAAAGCAGGGGGCCGGCGAACCCGCGGUAACUCGGCUUCCCAAGCUCAGGUCCUGGGCGGGGCGUGCAACGCCAAGUCCCGCCCCCGGCUAGUCCGCUCGUCGAAUGCGCACGCGCGUCUCCCAGUGGUUCCGCCCAUCACCGUGGGACGUCGGCUGCGCGCGACGCGCUGGCCGCAUAAAUGCGGCGGCAUCCGGCGUAGGAGCACUUCAGCCGGGAGAGCCUGGGCGUUCGGACGUUUGCCGGUGUCGCGGGCCGCGACAGAGCCCGCCCCUGCUCGCUGCGCCAUGGCGGACGAAGGGAAGUCAUACAACGAGCACGAUGAUCGAGUUAGUUUCCCUCAAAGAAGGAAGAAAGGCCGAGGCCCUUUCCGGUGGAAGUGUGGCGAGGGGAACCGGCGCUCUGCAAGGGGAGGUUCUAGCAUUCGGUCUUCCCGCCUUGAGGAAGAUGACAGAGAUGUGGCAGUGAGCGACGCCCAGGAUGUUCCCCGACUACGAUACAACCCCUAUGCUCCGCGACCCAACCGUCGGGGCGAUGGUUGGCACGAGCGGUCUCGAAUUCACGUCACGGUGCCUCUGCGGAGAGACAGAGUUCCUCCAGAGAGGGGAGGAGCCGGCACCAGCCAGGAUGGGACCUCAAAGAACUGGUUUAAGAUUACAAUUCCUUAUGGCAGGAAAUACGACAAGUCAUGGCUCCUGGGCAUGAUUCAGAGCAAGUGCAGUGUCCCUUUCACUCCCAUUGAGUUUCACUAUGAAAACACACGGGCCCAGUUUUUUGUCGAGGACGCCAGUACCGCCUCGGCAUUGAAGGCUGUCAACUAUAAGAUUUUGGAUCGGGAGAACCGCAGGAUAUCUAUCAUCAUCAACUCCUCUCCGCCGCCCCACACUGUGCAGAACGAGCUGAAGCCGGAGCAAGUCGAGCAGCUCAAGCUGAUCAUGAGCAAACGAUACGACGGCUCCCAGCAAGCCCUUGACCUCAAGGGCCUCCGUACAGACCCAGACUUGGUGGCCCAGAACAUCGACGUGGUCCUGAACCGCAGAAGCUGCAUGGCAGCCGCCCUGCGCAUCAUCGAAGAGAACAUCCCUGAGCUGUUGUCCUUGAACUUGAGCAAUAACAAGCUCUACAGACUGGAUGACUUGUCCAACAUCGUGCAGAAAGCACCGAAUCUAAAGAUCCUAAAUCUCUCUGGAAACGAGCUGAAGUCUGAGCGGGAGCUGGACAAGAUCAAAGGGCUGAAGCUAGAAGAGCUGUGGCUCGAUGGAAACACCCUGUGUGAUACCUUCCGAGACCAGUCCACCUACAUCAGGUCAGUUGUAGCCUCUGUCUCCCCUCCUGGGGACCUUCACCCCCCGGGAGGCUGAGCUGCUGCCCCCUGACCAGUGCCCAUCUGCAGGAGAUGUGCAGCCCUGAGCUGGAACCACCUGUCCUUUGGGAGGAUCACGUGCUCCUCCCUCUCGUCUGUCCGUGUCCCCAGCUUGGCCCUGGUCUCCUGCCCUUCCUUCCCACCUGACUGCUCUUUGCUGGUUCUGUGGCCUUUCUCCCUCCUUCCUGAGCACAGCCUUUUCCAGACUCUCCCUGCCCUCUGUUCCAGGAAGAGCAUCUCCCCUUUUCUCCCGUGACCAGGGGGUGUCGUGUAUGUGCCCCACACGUGGGGUUGAUUUGAGCAGCCAAGAGCCUGCUGCCCCUGGGCAGAGAAAGCCCUCCCUCCCCGGGGCUUCUGCUGAUGGGCCUUCCCUCCUCUGCACUUGGGCCAGGAGGGCCCGCUUCUCUCAGUCCACGCGCCCAAGGCUGCCGCCUGGGCUUCCCCGCCCCCGCUGAGGUGGAGGCCUCCUGGGGGCUGCUGCCAGGCAGACGGUGUCUCUUGCCCAGUGCUCUGAGCUGAGCCCUCCCUGGAGGAGAAACCUGGGGUCCCUAAGACAUGUGACCAGAGCCGGGGCCCCGCCGGCAGGCGAGGGCAUCCCCAGGCAGGUGCUGGGCGUGGAGGCCGCGGGGGCGUAGGCUGCAAGGAGACGGAGAACUGACCCUCUCCGGGGGCGCUGCCCCUCCCUCGCUCGCACACCUCACAUCACCCUGCUUGGCCCCGGAGGAUGGCUGGCUAGCCAGAGACGGGUAAGAUUCCUCAGGGAAGGAACAACCUAAGACAGGCACAGUCGCAGAGGGGCCAUCAGGAGAGGACUUGGGGGCCAACAGAGGUGGGGCACAGACCCUCACCCCCCCAACUUUGCAGGGGCCUGAACCCUCACGCCUUCUGAGGGAGGUCUCCUGCCCCCAUGGCUGUCUCGCUUCCCACGCCCAGCUCAGAUCGGGACCCAGGUGGCAGACAGAGACCUGGCCAACAGCAGCCGCCCUCUCGCCACACCGAGGAUUUGUUUCCCGUGUCCUCCUUGGACCACAGGGAGAGGGGAGCUGAAGGAAAAGGCUGGGUCAGGCGCCUUCUUCCCUUCGUUCUCCCUCUUCUCUCUGGGUGGCUCUUCGCCCUGUAGAGCUCCGGCUUCUUUGCUUUCUUUUUCCUUUUUCUCUCUGCGCACCUGUGUCUCCCUCGUCUCUCCUUCACCCCCUCCCCUCCUACCUGUCCUCUCUCUCUUCUCCUCUCCCUGCCUUCUCUUCUUCCUUGGCCUCCCCUCCUCCUGAGCCCUGCCUUGCUCGUCUCCCUGCCCCAACAUCCUGUGCCAUCCCUGUGGUGUGUUCUGGUCUUGGCCACGGCCAGACCUGGCAGAAGUGAUGGAUACCUGUUGAGGCAGCGGAGCCCCUGGGCUCCCACCCCAUUCCCUCCUCCCGGGGCUGCACAGGUGAGUAGGUGGAAGGUAAGGGGGGCAGGGAGGGAGAGGAGGUCCUGGCUUAAAGCCCGGGCUGGGAGCGCUGCUCCUGUGGCGCUCGGGGUCAGGCAGAGAGAAGAGAGUCGGCCUUCAAGGCAGUCAUUUCUGGGUGCCCCGGGUGAGGCGGGGAGUGGGGCUGCUUUUCCUGGAGCUCAGAGGCUGGGGAAGAGGGCGAGGACAAGCAGGAUGGGGUGGGCUGUCCCUCGGGUGUUGGUGUAUUUGCUCCUAGUGCAGCCCAGGAGGCCCGGUGGCUCUGAAGCAUCACUCACUUCUGUCCCGUUCUUGACAGCGCCAUUCGAGAACGAUUCCCCAAAUUACUACGCCUGGAUGGCCACGAGUUACCCCCACCAAUUGCCUUUGAUGUUGAAGCCCCCACGAUGUUACCACCCUGCAAGGGAAGCUAUUUUGGAACAGAGACCCUGAAGAAUCUGGUGCUGCACUUCCUGCAGCAGUACUAUGCAGUAUAUGACUCUGGAGACCGGCAGCGGCUCCUGGAUGCCUACCAUGAUGGGGCCUGCUGCUCCCUGAGCAUCCCCUUCAUCCCCCAGAACCCUGCUCGAAGCAACUUGGCCGAGUACUUCAAGGAUAGCAGGAAUGUGAAGAAGCUUAAAGACCCUAGCCUGCGGUUCAGGCUGCUGAAGCACACGCGUCUCAACGUGGUGGCCUUUCUCAACGAGCUGCCCAAAACUCAGCAUGAUAUCAAUUCCUUCGUGGUAGACAUAAGCGCCCAGACAAGCACAUUGCUGUGUUUUUCUGUCAAUGGAGUCUUCAAGGAAGUGGAUGGAAAAUCUCGGGACUCUUUGCGAGCCUUUACCCGGACGUUCGUGGCUGUUCCUGGCAGCAAUUCAGGGCUGUGCAUCGUAAACGACGAGCUGUUUGUGCGGAAUGCCAGUCCCGAUGAGAUCCAAAGAGCCUUCGCCAUGCCGGCGCCCACGCCUUCCUCCAGCCCAGUGCCCACCCUCUCCCCAGAACAGCAGGAAAUGCUGCAAGCAUUCUCUACCCAGUCUGGCAUGAACCUUGAGUGGUCCCAGAAGUGUCUUCAGGACAACAACUGGGACUACACCAGAUCUGCCCAGGCCUUUACUCAUCUCAAGGCCAAGGGCGAGAUCCCAGAAGUGGCAUUCAUAAAGUGACCCAUAGUUGUGCUCCAAGAGAAGGCACCUGUAAAUAGCCCUUGGAUAUAUUGAUGUCUCGUUGCCAUGGUUGUCGCCUCUCCGGCCCCCAGGCCACCCUUUGACUGUGACCGAGGAGGGGGUGCUGCUGGAUCCCUCUCCUCACCUGCCUUCUGGAAGACUUCCAGGAGAUUGAGCCUCUGGUGCCAGGAAGCCAAAGCUUACUUUGUAGAACUGACACUAAACUACUCAAAGGACUUAGGUGCUUUGUGUACUUAACCCCACGAUCCUUCCUACUUUUUAAGAUAAAGAGUGAUGUUGUAUUUUGUGUAGAGCGUGCAAUUCUGUAUUAGCCUUGCCCUUUGCGUGUGCUGGCGGAAGGGAGGCCAGGGCUGGGCCUAGAGGGCGGGGACGGAGGCGGCGGACGGGGACUCCGGGAGGGCGGGGAGGAGGCGUCGGCAGGAAGUCCCGCCCCGGAAGUCGCCCCUUGCGGGGCCAUGGCGGCGCCCGGGGCACGCAUACCCGCGCGGCUGCUUCUGGCGCUGCAGUCCCGACCCGCGCGCCGGGCCCUGCACGAUGCAGCCCCGCCACGGGACGUGCUGCUCUUCGAGCACGAACGAGGCCGCUUUUUCGCCGUCCUCGGGCUGUUCUGUGCCGGCCAGGGCGUCUUCUGGGCCUCCCUGGCCAUUGCCGCCUUAACCCGCCCCCCGGCCCCGGCUCGGCCUCCGGACACCGAGUCCCCAGACCGUGGCCGCCUGGACCUACGCUCCGCGCUCUGGCGCUAUGGCCUCGCUCUUGGCUGCGGCACUAUCGGUACCCUGGUACUUAGUGCUGGUCUUCUCUUUCCCUUCGCUCUGUGCGCUCAGUGAUGCUACGGGCUGGAGGGAAGCAAGUGACCCUCACCACUCAUGCCCCCUUUGGCUUGGGUGCCCAUUUCACUGUUCCCUUGAACCAAGUAUCCUGCAUGGCCCAUCGGGGUGAAGUCCCUGCUAUGUUGCCUCUGAAGGUCAAAGGCCGACGCUUCUACUUCCUCUUGGACAAAGCUGGACACUUCCCCAACACAAAACUCUUUGAUAUUACUGUGGGUGCCUACCGUAGCUUGUGAAGAAACCACCUCAGCUCAUUCAGGCCUCCCAGAGGGGAAUAAAAUCUGAAACUUAGGGGCGGGGCAGCAGUUGGUCACACAGGGGGCCCAGAAUUCAUUGACAGCAAAUAAAAGAGCACUCUUCCCGAGGGCAGCUACCUGCCAGUA
Molecule: non-coding RNA, 6302 nt
Organism: Sus scrofa (pig)
Lineage: Eukaryota; Metazoa; Chordata; Mammalia; Artiodactyla; Suidae
Source: RefSeq, a predicted model, not a curated record